AGGGGCUCCCGAGCGGCAAAAGGGGGAGGACACAAGAUCCUGAAGCUCAGGCUUCCGAGGGUUCGAAUCCCUCCCCCCCGUA
RNAcentral lists this transfer RNA (82 nucleotides) under archaeon. RNAcentral describes it as "tRNA-Leu". The record is from RNAcentral.